This 253-nucleotide ribosomal RNA is filed under the name uncultured bacterium. RNAcentral's name for it is "partial 16S ribosomal RNA". It matches the Rfam family "Bacterial small subunit ribosomal RNA", at positions 524 to 776 of the family's 1533-position model. The record is from RNAcentral.
UACGGAGGGUGCAAGCGUUAUCCGGAUUCACUGGGUUUAAAGGGUGCGUAGGUGGGUCUGAAAGUCAGUGGUGCAAUCUCCGGGCUUAACCUGGAAACUGCCAUUGAUACUUCAGGUCUUGAAUUUUCUGGAGGUAAGCGGAAUAUGUCAUGUAGCGGCGAAAUGCUUAGAUAUGACAUAGAACACCAAUGGCGAAGGCAGCUUACUACGGGAGUAUUGACACUGAGGCACGAAAGCGUGGGGAGCAAACAGG